Molecule: ribosomal RNA, 711 nt
Filed under: Nesterenkonia sp. KLBMP 1292
Lineage: Bacteria; Bacillati; Actinomycetota; Actinomycetes; Micrococcales; Micrococcaceae
Description: bacterial SSU rRNA
Rfam family: Bacterial small subunit ribosomal RNA
Source: RNAcentral
UGGAUUAGUGGCGAACGGGUGAGUAUCACGUGAGUAACCUUCCCUUGACUCUGGGAUAAGCCCGGGAAACUGGGUCUAAUACCGGAUACGACCAGUCCUCGCAUGGGGUGCUGGUGGAAAGAUUUAUCGGUCUUGGAUGGACUCGCGGCCUAUCAGCUUGUUGGUGAGGUAAAGGCUCACCAAGGCGAUGACGGGUAGCCGGCCUGAGAGGGUGACCGGCCACACUGGGACUGAGACACGGCCCAGACUCCUACGGGAGGCAGCAGUGGGGAAUAUUGCACAAUGGGCGAAAGCCUGAUGCAGCGACGCCGCGUGCGGGAUGACGGCCUUCGGGUUGUAAACCGCUUUCAGCAGGGAAGAAGCGAAAGUGACGGUACCUGCAGAAGAAGCGCCGGCUAACUACGUGCCAGCAGCCGCGGUAAUACGUAGGGCGCGAGCGUUAUCCGGAAUUAUUGGGCGUAAAGAGCUCGUAGGCGGUUUGUCACGUCUGCUGUGAAAGCCCGGGGCUCAACCCCGGGUGUGCAGUGGGUACGGGCAGACUAGAGUGCAGUAGGGGAGACUGGAAUUCCUGGUGUAGCGGUGAAAUGCGCAGAUAUCAGGAGGAACACCGAUGGCGAAGGCAGGUCUCUGGGCUGUUACUGACGCUGAGGAGCGAAAGCAUGGGGAGCGAACAGGAUUAGAUACCCUGGUAGUCCAUGCCGUAAACGUUGG